GACGAACGCUGGCGGCGCGCCUAACACAUGCAAGUCGAACGAGAGAUGAAGAGCUUGCUCUUCAGAUCGAGUGGCGAACGGGUGAGUAACGCGUGAGGAACCUGCCUCAAAGAGGGGGACAACAGUUGGAAACGACUGCUAAUACCGCAUAAGCCCACGGCUCGGCAUCGAGCAGAGGGAAAAGGAGCAAUCCGCUUUGAGAUGGCCUCGCGUCCGAUUAGCUAGUUGGUGAGGUAACGGCCCACCAAGGCGACGAUCGGUAGCCGGACUGAGAGGUCGAACGGCCACAUUGGGACUGAGACACGGCCCAGACUCCUACGGGAGGCAGCAGUGGGGAAUAUUGCACAAUGGGGGAAACCCUGAUGCAGCGACGCCGCGUGGAGGAAGAAGGUCUUCGGAUUGUAAACUCCUGUUGUUGAGGAAGAUAAUGACGGUACUCAACAAGGAAGUGACGGCUAACUACGUGCCAGCAGCCGCCGUAA
Molecule: ribosomal RNA, 482 nt
Filed under: uncultured bacterium
Lineage: Bacteria
Description: partial 16S ribosomal RNA
Rfam family: Bacterial small subunit ribosomal RNA
Source: RNAcentral